GGACUACUAGGGUAUCUAAUCCUGUUUGCUCCCCACGCUUUCGAGCCUCAGUGUCAGUAACAGACCAGAAUGUCGCCUUCGCCACUGGUGUUCUUCCAUAUAUCUACGCAUUCCACCGCUACACAUGGAGUUCCACAUUCCUCUUCUGUACUCAAGUUUCCCAGUUUCCAAUGACCCUCCACGGUUAAGCCGUGGGCUUUCACAUCAGACUUAAGAAACCACCUGCGCUCCCUUUACGCCCAAUAAAUCCGGACAACGCUUGCCACCUACGUAUUACCGCGGCGGCUGACAC
RNAcentral lists this unclassified non-coding RNA (292 nucleotides) under uncultured fungus. Its description in RNAcentral is "sequence contains ITS1". The record is from RNAcentral. Lineage: Eukaryota; Fungi.